GAUGAAGAACGUAGCGAAAUGCGAUAAGUAGUGUGAAUUGCAGAAUUCAGUGAAUCAUCGAAUCUUUGAACGCACAUUGCGCCCCUUGGUAUCCCAUGGGGCAUGCCUGUUCGAGCGUCAUUUGUACCUUCAAGCUCUGCUUGGUGUUGGGUGUUUGUCUCGCCUCUGCGUGUAGACUCGCCUCAAAAUAAUUGGCAGCCGGCAUAUUGAUUUCGGAGCGCAGUACAUCUCGCGCUUUGCACUCAUAACGACGACGUCCAAAAGUACAUUUUUACACUCUUGACCUCGGAUCAGGUAGGGAUACCCGCUGAACUUAAGCAUAUCAAUAAGCGGAGGA
RNAcentral lists this unclassified non-coding RNA (337 nucleotides) under soil metagenome. Its description in RNAcentral is "partial contains 5.8S ribosomal RNA, internal transcribed spacer 2, and large subunit ribosomal RNA". The stretch from base 1 to 120 matches the Rfam family "5.8S ribosomal RNA", at positions 35 to 154 of the family's 154-position model. The record is from RNAcentral.